This 1233-nucleotide long non-coding RNA is filed under the name Homo sapiens (human). RNAcentral describes it as "HSALNT0274050". Lineage: Eukaryota; Metazoa; Chordata; Mammalia; Primates; Hominidae. The record is from RNAcentral.
UCCGAAAGCUGCAGUGGCUGGGACUCCAGUUCUACUAGGUGGAUCACAGGUCACCUGAGGGCCCUGGCCAGGUGGACCCUCCCUCUCACCAGCUGCCCUUGAGCUUCAGAGGGUCAGGGUCUGCAUUCUGGAAGGGACACACAGCUGGAGGCAGCACCCCAAAGGGGCCGAGGGACAUCCUCCCUUGGGGAUGCUGUGUCUGGAAGGGCUGGGGGACAGCGGGGGGCCCCUGGUGUGUCAAGAGAGGAGGCUGUGGAAGUUAGUGGGAGCGACCAGCUUUGGCAUCGGCUGCGCAGAGGUGAACAAGCCUGGGGUGUACACCCGUGUCACCUCCUUCCUGGACUGGAUCCACGAGCAGAUGGAGAGAGACCUAAAAACCUGAAGAGGAAGGGGACAAGUAGCCACCUGAGUUCCUGAGGUGAUGAAGACAGCCCGAUCCUCCCCUGGACUCCCGUGUAGGAACCUGCACACGAGCAGACACCCUUGGAGCUCUGAGUUCCGGCACCAGUAGCAGGCCCGAAAGAGGCACCCUUCCAUCUGAUUCCAGCACAACCUUCAAGCUGCUUUUUGUUUUUUGUUUUUUUGAGAUGGAGUCUCGCUCUGUUGCCCAGGCUGGAGUGCAGUGGCGAAAUCCCUGCUCACUGCAGCCUCCGCUUCCCUGGUUCAAGCGAUUCUCUUGCCUCAGCUUCCCCAGUAGCUGGGACCACAGGUGCCCGCCACCACACCCAACUAAUUUUUGUAUUUUUAGUAGAGACAGGGUUUCACCAUGUUGGCCAGGCUGCUCUCAAACCCCUGACCUCAAAUGAUGUGCCUGCUUCAGCCUCCCACAGUGCUGGGAUUACAGGCAUGGGCCACCACGCCUAGCCUCACGCUCCUUUCUGAUCUUCACUAAGAACAAAAGAAGCAGCAACUUGCAAGGGCGGCCUUUCCCACUGGUCCAUCUGGUUUUCUCUCCAGGGGUCUUGCAAAAUUCCUGACGAGAUAAGCAGUUAUGUGACCUCACGUGCAAAGCCACCAACAGCCACUCAGAAAAGACGCACCAGCCCAGAAGUGCAGAACUGCAGUCACUGCACGUUUUCAUCUCUAGGGACCAGAACCAAACCCACCCUUUCUACUUCCAAGACUUAUUUUCACAUGUGGGGAGGUUAAUCUAGGAAUGACUCGUUUAAGGCCUAUUUUCAUGAUUUCUUUGUAGCAUUUGGUGCUUGACGUAUUAUUGUCCUUUGAUUCCAA